This 429-nucleotide ribosomal RNA is filed under the name uncultured soil bacterium. RNAcentral's name for it is "bacterial SSU rRNA". It matches the Rfam family "Bacterial small subunit ribosomal RNA", at positions 26 to 439 of the family's 1533-position model. The record is from RNAcentral.
AGAGUGAACGCUGGCGGCAGGCCUAACACAUGCAAGCCGAACGGCAGCACAGCAGAGCUUGCUCUGUGGGUGGCGAGUGGCGGACGGGUGAGGAAUACGUCGGAAUCUGCCUUUUUGUGGGGGAUAACGUAGGGAAACUUACGCUAAUACCGCAUACGACCUACGGGUGAAAGCGGAGGACCUUCGGGCUUCGCGCAGAAAGAUGAGCCGACGUCGGAUUAGCUAGUUGGAGGGUAAUGGCCCACCAAGGCGACGAUCCGUAGCUGGUCUGAGAGGAUGAUCAGCCACACUGGGACUGAGACACGGCCCAGACCUCCGUACGGGAGGCAGGCAGUGGGGAAUAGUUGGACAAGUGGGCGCAAGCCUGAUCCAGCCAUCGCCGGCGUGGUGUAGAAGAAGGUCCGUUCGGGUUAGUAAAGCUACGUUUUU